Molecule: ribosomal RNA, 893 nt
Filed under: uncultured bacterium
Lineage: Bacteria
Description: bacterial SSU rRNA
Rfam family: Bacterial small subunit ribosomal RNA
Source: RNAcentral
CUGGCUCAGGAUGAACGCUAGCGGCAGGCUUAAUACAUGCAAGUCGUGGGGCAGCAUGAGUGUAGCAAUACAUUUGAUGGCGACCGGCAAACGGGUGCGGAACACGUACUGAACCUUCCUUUAAGUGGGGAAUAGCCCAGAGAAAUUUGGAUUAAUACCCCGUAAUAUAUAGAAGUGGCAUCACUUUUAUAUUAAAGCUCCGGCGCUUAAAGAUGGCAGUGCGGCUGAUUAGGUAGUUGGCGGGGUAACGGCCCACCAAGCCGACGAUCAGUAACUGGUGUGAGAGCACGACCAGUCACACGGGCACUGAGACACGGGCCCGACUCCUACGGGAGGCAGCAGUAAGGAAUAUUGGUCAAUGGACGCAAGUCUGAACCAGCCAUGCCGCGUGGAGGAUGAAGGUCCUCUGGAUUGUAAACUUCUUUUAUCUGGGAAGAAACCCAUCUUUUCUUGGAUGGUUGACGGUACCAGAUGAAUAAGCACCGGCUAACUCCGUGCCAGCAGCCGCGGUAAUACGGAGGGUGCAAGCGUUAUCCGGAUUCACUGGGUUUAAAGGGUGCGUAGGUGGGCAGGUAAGUCAGCGGUGAAAUCUCCGGGCUUAACCCGGAAACUGCCAUUGAUACUAUCUGUCUUGAAUACCCUGGAGGUGAGCGGAAUAUGUCAUGUAGCGGUGAAAUGCUUAGAUAUGACAUAGAACACCCAUUGCGAAGGCAGCUCACUACGGGAAUAUUGACACUGAGGCACGAAAGCGUGGGGAUCAAACAGGAUUAGAUACCCUGGUAGUCCACGCCCUAAACGAUGGAUACUCGACAUCAGCGAUAAACUGUUGGUGUCUGAGCGAAAGCAUUAAGUAUCCCACCUGGGAAGUACGAUCGCAAGAUUGAAACUCAAAG